UGCCUGAUGCUGCUAACCACUUUUAGCUAGCUGCCUAGUUUUGCUGAGAGUUUGCUUGGGGCAACCUGGUUUGGGGGUCAUAAGUCCCCGUCAGGCCUCUUCUUUCUGCCAAUGAAGUUAGCAGCCAAAUUCUGAGUGAUCUUACCAAGUGUGUGACUUUUGCUGUCCACAGCUCAACCUACUUUUUUGCUCUCUCUGUGCAGGCCUUGGCUUCAUUAACAAUUUUUCCUUCAUCCUUCUUUCCUUUUUUUCCCAGGGAAAGACAGCAGUGCUGUCAGCAGGUUUAACAGGGUCCUGGUGGUGAUCCCGUAGCCUAACCUCUUGUAUAAUACAAAACACAGAGUGUUCCCCAGUGAGAUGGAGGUCUGGCCCACCAGCCUCUUCAAAUAGCUGUGAUUUAGUGACUUCAAACGAUGGGGAAUUUACAACAUUCUUGGGUAACUGGCUCGGAUUGUUAAUCUCAUUGUUAAACGUUGGCAUCUUAUUUCCAAUUUGAACUUUUCUGACUUCAUCUUCUGGCUAUGAGAUCUCGUAACGUCUUUGUCUGGCAGAUUAAAUAGUUUCACAUAGUCUCUCUGUGCAAGUAUUUAAGGACGGUAAUUAAAUAGCCACUUGCUGUUGUCUCUGAUGAGAUAAAUAGGCCGCACUCCCUUGGUCUCUCCCAGGAAUACAAAGGCUCCAGAGGAAAAACGAACACUCUUCUCCAGAGCCCCCAGAGCAGCCGCCUGCAAAGUGCUGCCACCAGCACGGCACAGUGGCUUCCAGGAAGGCUCCCAUUAAUGUCACGUGCAGAGAUAAUGACAUCGGGCGCAGUAUUCCCCUGUCUAUUCACCCAGCGGUACGAACUUUUCUUUCCCACGACCACGCGGUGGGAACUUGUGUGUCCGUGAUCCCUGCGUUUCUGGGCAAGCCAGGGUUUUCUCAGGAGUUGGUUGCCUGUCCUGGAAGGGGUAUUUAAACUAAACUUUCCUACAUGCAUCACUCUGGAUGUGCCUAUAUUCAACCUUCCCCCCCGCCACCCUCCUAUCACUUCCAGGGAGUUUGCAGCAUUCUAACAAUAGUCAAGCUCUGGUGUUUCUCCCUCUAUGCCAAAAUUGUCUUUUUCCUUCUUGGUAGCACUCGGUCCAUGUAACCUUUAAGUUAUUUGAAGUUGGGGGAGAAGUUAUACUGAGUAAAGCACAAAUGAAGAACUGAAAGCGCCCAUGACAGUGAAUUGGUUUCAUAGCUGCUUUCAUUCAGCUGUGCCUCUAAGCGUUGGUGAGGGAGAGAUUUGCUUUCCUGCCUUACAGAACGGUAAAGCCCUCGCUCAGUGUGAUGCCAAGGCUGACGCGUGCAUGGUCACUAUGUUGCAGGUCUUGAACUUGAAUUGUCUGACUUUUACUGGUCCAGAUUGCGCUCAACCCUGGGUUUAUGGCUUUCUUUAGAAAGCACAGGCCUGACAGCAUGGGCCAGAGGCUUCUCGCAGGAUGUCGUCAACUUUUCUGAUAGCAUGCAGCAGCCCAAAGGGGACUGAAAAGCUGUGGGUGGAUUUAACUGUCUGAAGGCGCUGGUGUGGGAGAUGCUCUGUGAAGUGAGAUCUAUUGGGGUUUUUAUAGGGGCGGAGUUGGCCUAGUAAAGCUGACUGCCCUCUGCCUAUGGGCUAACCAGUGCACCCUGAGGGAGGGCGGUGUCAGAGGGGCACAGUCAGGCAGCGCUGUGCGGAUGUUGGUGUGUGUGUGCAGCUGUGCUGAACACAGCGCUGAGUCGAUCCCUUUCUAACUAAUGCCACUUAGAAAGUGCAAGAAUCAUUUCCUGUAGCCCCAUGAAGAAACCCUGGGACUACAAACAAAUGCUGUGCUUGCAGAGCUACUGACGGGCAUGCCUGUGGCACUUCCGUGGCACAGAAAAUCAGGGUAUUUGCCCUUUCACAAGCAGAGGAAUAGAAAGGCCCCUUAUCGACAUAGUUUCCCGAUAUGUCGUCUGUUCAUUGUUGUGGAGCAUGGUGAUAAUACCAAUUACAAGCCUGUGUUUUCAGGGGAUUGCAGGUCAACAACAAAUAUUGAUUUUAGUCUAGAAGUAGCUAUAGUUUUGCUGGCAGUGGAGAACGGGCUGUUCAUAAAUAAUAAUAUAAAAAAAAAAUGGUUGGGUUAAAUACUGUUCCAUCUUUUCCUCUUCUGAGGUGUUUCAGUUUGCAAAAUCAAAGACCUUAUCUGUAAAGGCAAACCAUUCCAUAAAGUAGGUGAGGUGAUUCCUGUGAGUAGCAUUUGUUUGCAUGAAUAAAUAUGGCAGGUUUCAGUCUUUAGAAUGAAUGUCUUCUGUGUUACAAUUAAGAAAAUGUAAAUUCUGAUCAUGUAGUGGCUUAAGUAUCAGUACAGCAAGCUCUCUUGAAAUUCCACAAAGGAUUUUUUUUUUCUCCAAGUCUCUGAAAAUGUCUAUACAAAAUACUGCACUAGGUAUUAACAGUGAUGGAUGGGGGAGGUGCCUAUUAAAAGGGUAAAAAUAAUUACUGAGCUAAGAUAUCAGAGGUGAUGGAAUAUAGAACCCUGCGAACCCUCGAACUGCAGGGAAUUCUUUUCACAUUGGUGUCAGCAUCUUAGAAGUUGCUUAUUGUGGAUUUAAUUGUAGAUUUCCCCCAUAUGAAAUUUUGACUUUCUGUUACCUGGACUGUAGCUUUCCCUUCCCAUUCAAAUGCUGUUUCUUUCUCCCAAACUGGGCUAGUUUUUCUUUCUGGUUUGUUUUUUGAUUUUUUGGUUUUUUGCAUAUACUUUCCCUUCUCAGCGUUGCAUCUUCUCUUCAAUUCCUUUUGCAACUAGAACAUCUCUCUCCAUAGAGUGGUUGGUCCCAAAACUCAUCUUUUUUGAGUCAUGAUGACCAGCUUGGGUCAGUCCAGCAUUAAGAACGGUGCCUGUUAAUUAACCCUACUAGUCGGUGAUGGACAGAAGAUGGUGUUUUUAUGAGUCUCACAGUUACAGUGUCAGCUGAAGAGUGCUCAGCAAGGAGGGACAAGUGGUGGGUUACAGCUAGGUGGAUUUCAUAAGAAAAAUAUGGUUGCAGUAGUGACAUUUGUCAGAUGUGUCCUACAGCCAUUAGUGCAACCUUUAUUUUUGAGCAACAUGAACGACGUCCAUUAGGUGCAAUCAAAACUAAGGAGAAGCUGAUUAUACCGAGAACAGUACCCUGCCUGUGGUUUGCUUUUGAAAUUGAUGCAGGUGUAAAAAACAACAUGCUUGCAGUCCUACAGCUAUAGAGCAAAAUCUUGAAACGUGUAUGACUCUUCUUCUAGAUAUACAUCAUUUCUUAAUUUAUAAAACCUACAUUGAAGACAGAAGUAGGGCACAUGGGCUGAAUCUGUUGCAGUUGUGGAUUUGAGAGCAAUCCUGGAUGUUAUUUAAUGAAAUGUAAUGAUUUAAUUUAAUGAAAUGUAAUGAUUAAAUGAUAAAACUUACAGAUCUGUCCUACAGGGUUAUGAGCUGGUGCAAAAUACUUAAAAAAUAGUAGUGUAGUUAAAGUAAGCAAAAUCCCAGCUUGAAUAGGUUUUAGGAAAAAGUUAGCUGAUGAACCAAGAUAGAGGCAUUAGCCCUUUCCUCAGUCUGUGCCUCUGUGUAUAUGUGAAUAGUGUAACUGACCAAAAAAGGGUGACCAGUGUGAGGGAUUGUUGGCAGUUGUUUGGCAUUAUUAUGGAAGAUUAGAAAUGUACCAAAAUUCAUCCAUUAUUAUUCAUGUAUUAAUCAUGGAUAGGAGUUGGAUGCACUGUCUGUAAGCACUGAUACUACGUGACAAGAUGGCUAAACUUCUCUCAUAUUUGGGAUACAUCAGUUCGUUCAGGUAAAUGUCAGCUUCUUAAGAGACAGAACAAAGCAAAGACUGAUAGUAUUUAUUGGUUAAAAAAAAAGUUUUAUACACAUUCUGAAUCAAGUUAAAUUACAUUCCUGUAGGAGAAGCUUUUGAGAGUCUAUCUGGCCACAGUUUACUUCUAUAAAUAGUAAAAAAGGAAAAAGGCUAUGUAUAUAUUUUAUUAUAUACAUGGACUUGGAAUUCUUUCAUAGUUCUGCAGAAAGGAAGAUUUGUACUGAUUAAUUCUUUAAUCACAGAUCAGUUACUUAUUAAAGUUGAGUGACUUGCUUCUUGGAGGCAGUUGCUAAGUGUUCACAUCUGUAAAUGAGCAGUACAUAUGAAAGGGCAGAGGUGUCAGAAUGCUGCUGAGUAAAUAUGAGAAAAGCACAUAGCUGACACUUGCAACUGCAUGCAGUGUGUGAGUAAAAGAGAAAACAGGAAGGAUGGAGACCAAAAAAGUAAUGACUGGAAAUGAGCAUAGUAUCAUUUUGAGCCCUGCUUCGUCCUCUGCCAGCAGCGGACACAUGUAAAUAGGAAAAAUAAUUAAGUGGAGGGGAAAAUGCCAACAGUUAUAAAUAUUGCAAUGAAUUACUGUAGCAUCUUCUGUCAAGAAUGUCCACAGAGGACUAAGUGGAUUCUUUUUUUCUCCCCAUCUCAACUCCACAGUCCUACACUACAGAACUUACUGGCAGGUAAGGAAGCUAUUACCAUAGCCAACAUCAAACAGACAUGCAAGAAGGUUCUGUUAUUAUUAUUUUUUUAUUGAUACAGAACCAUGGGUCUCUAUAAUAUCUGUGGUUGUGAUUGUCAGCAACUCCCAUUAUUUUUACUGUUCAUUUUGUUUAUUAUUUAUUAUAAGUUAGUGAAGUGUGGCACUGUUUGAGUUUGCUCCCUUCCAUACCCUCCUCUCUCCCUCAGUCCUCUUAGAAGGACAAGAAUAAAGGAAAACACAAACACCCUGGUUCUUUGUUGAUGUGUUAGUAUCUGCAAAUAUGGUGCCUAGCACAGUUCAGACCAGCUCUCACAUGAGACUCCCAGUUUGUAGUGCUUGGCAAAUGACAAUUCAUUUUCCCAGCUGAGUUAUAUCACUGUUUAGCUCUGGAGAUGAAACUGUUCUCCUGAGGGCAUGGAGAAGAGUGUAUUCUGAGCUAUUUCUCAUUACCUUCUUAGGCAACACUCACAAUCACUACUAAGGAAAGAAAGAAAAUGGUUAUUUUAUAAUCUGUUUUAUAGAUAUGAAGCCUGUCACUAGACAGGAAUCUAAAUUGCAGACUGAUUAACUUCUUAUCCAGGAAGCAGUAGCAUUGCUUAAUUUAAAAUUGUUUGUGUUGCCCGUGGAUUAAUCAUAGGUCCAAUCUGUUGGACACCGAAUUUCCACAGCCAGACCAGAGAAGUCCAUCAGCACAAGACUGACUGACUCAUCAGCACAUUGCAUGACUGGGUGAAGAGCAUUAAGGAGGGAGCGCACACUAUGGGGUUAGCACUCUGCCAAUCUCUUAGAUUUAAGACAGUCCAGUUCUUGUGCAGAUGCCCCUGAUUAGCAGUUAGUUUCAUGAUAACAAGCACACCUUUAAAAAUGCACAGAGGUUUGCUUGCUUCCUCUUCUACUUUUGUUUUUGAAAGCUUUGUUACCUGCUAGCAGGAGCCUAGUUCAGGUAAAUUUGUGCUAACAUACAUGGUAAAGUGUCUGCCAAGUCUGUGAUGUAAAACACACCUGUCAUGACUUUGCAGCCAACGUCUGGACCAGUAAGGAGAGAGAGAGCAGUCAGUAUCUGCAGGUUGAGCCAUGGCAUGCCAUGUUGAUCACAUUUAUAGAUUUAGGUUUGUAUGUCAAUGAUGUUUUAUAUAUAAAUACUACAAAAAUAUCGGAAGUUACACAGUGAGUGCAUGCAUUCAUUUGUGGAAUGACUGGAACGGUGGAAAGAUCAGUGUUUUCUGAAGGGCUGCCUGGCAAAGUCUGAGAACUAACAAAGAUAUUUCAGUAGCUCUGUUGGCUACAGCUAUGUACAUAUUUGUUCAGAUGAAGCGCAGAUCAAGUAAGACCAAAGUAAUUAGCAUGAAAGGCUGCUUUCUUACUGGCUGAAAAAAAACCAAUAUGUAUAUAAUAAGCAGAAAGUAGUGACCAAAGAUUCAGUUUUCGAAAGGCAGAUCUCAUUAUUUGCCCUUUUUUUUUCUGCUAAAUGGACCAAUGUUUCUAGAAUCUUGAAAAGUGAUAAAUGUUUGCUUGAAUUCUCUCUGUAACACCUCUACCUUUUGAUUCUGCUGGAGCUCAUUGACAGUAGUCAAUAUUGAUAACUCUUCGAAAUCAUUAUGCAACUACCAGCAGUUGGUGUUUUGUCCUGAAGAUCAGGAUGAUUUUCUAUAUGCACGUGUAGUUUUCUUUUGAAGAAAGUUGGAAAAAUAUUUGUUGUUGUGAUCAGGAUCCCAGAUUGCAUUCUAGUGAUGGAAGGUCUUUUUUUGAUGGGGGAGAGGGGGAAUCUCAAGAUACAAAGAUGAAAUAAGCAACCUGUGCAAGGUGCUAUGCAUUUUUUACUGUUCUUCAAGCAAAAAAAAAAAAAAAAAAAAAAAAGGCAGCAGACUCAAAUAGAGAACAUGAAUGCUCUGCUACAUUAUGACAGGUCUUAAAAGUAUACUGUAAAAAGAAAUGGCUUCUCUCAAAUAAUGACAGUGAUGUCAGGGAAGAUUUUAUUCAGAAAUUUUCCAUGGCUCCAGGCCUCCUUUUUAAAUGCAGAGCUAGACGUCCUGCUCCAUGAAACAUCACUAGAGAUCUGUGAAAAACAGUUCAGGUAUUACCGUAGAACAGUGGGAACUUCCAUCAUGGGAUAACAAAGUGGUCUCGUGUUACCUUAAAUUUGUGUAAAUUGAUGUUUAACUCACUCACAAUGUGUAAAACAAGUAAAAAUAGAUACGUGGUUGGGUGUAAAUUUUAGAUGUAUGGAUUUUCCUUUUCUGGAUGGAACAGAAGAGGAAAAUAAGAGUAGGCUAGUUACUAAUCUGAUCUCACAUGGUUUUGGGAAGAGAUGGGUGUUCCUGUUUAUAAGGAGUAGAGUUGGUGUGUGGUUACUCAGAUACUAGGGAAAAGUAGAAUCUCUUAACCUAAAGCCAGACUGACUGAAACCAAUUUUAGACUCUUGUGCAAUCAUUUUGCUUUCAUGAAGAAACUGUACAACAUUUUGAAGUCAAAGGACUGGUUCUUUAACUCUGUUAUAUUCUUAUUGUGUCAGUGUGAUCUUAGCCCACAAAGCAGUGUGUCUGCCAAGUACUUGAGGAAAGGUACCUCCACUCAGAUAGGGUCCUACUACUCUGACCAUGGACUAUUUCCAAAAGCAGUGUUGAAAAACAGAGUAAAUCUGGAAAGUUUGUAAUAGACUAGAUAGGAAAUCUUUCACCCUAGUGAUGUGUAACAAAGAUGAUAUGCGGGGUCCUGUUGUGUUUUAGCAACUUCUGGUUUUCUUAGACUACCAGAGCUGCAGGUCAUAGCAGCUUUUAGGGUGGCCUUUGUGCACUGAGGAAUAAACUGGAUAUCACCACGUCCCAAGAUCAGAAAGUGAAGAGGUACAGCAGUCCCGUCAGUCUUCCCAGCUCAGCUCCCCUCGAGAAGGUUGUCUAGCCCAUAGGCUAGAAAGGACAGAAGGAUAAUCAGACCUUAGCAUUUAACUUCUUGAAUUCAUGAGUUCCUAAUGUUAACGUCACUCUCUUCUCUGAAGCAUCAGUUUCAUGAAAAACUUCACAGUCGAUAGGCUUAGCUCAAGAGAUGAGUCAUUAGGGAAAUGAUAAAACAUAAGAAGCAUGCUGGGUGGCAUUGGAAGGGGUAGAAGUAAUGUGACAAAACAUUUGUCAGUAAGAUGAUACUCUGAGUAGAGCUGUAUGGAAACAAGAUGACAGAAUUAUUCCACCCUGAAAGUCUGGUAUUUCACAACAAGAGCUGAAAGUUUUAUAACACUGCAGCUCACUACAACAUCUCCAUAUUUAUUAUAAGAAAAUGUUAAUCCUCCCCCUGAGGUUAAUAAUUAGGUAGUAUCUGUUAAAAGCCACUGAGCAGGCUAUAAAUAUCCGCAUACAUUUAUGAGAACCCAGAUUUCUGCUGAAGUUAAGCAACAGCCUUACAAGGUUGUCUGAGUACUCUGUAAAACAACUUAUAGGGCUCCAUCCAAUCCACAGGAGCAGGCAUUCCAAUUUCAAAUGCAACUGUGAUGACUUUUGACAAUUCUCGGAACAACAAAGACACUUUCUGAUAAAGGGUAAGUGGUAUUUCUGAUGGUCACCCCAGUCAGUGGCAUGGCAGAAUGAAGUGACCAGACUUCCAGGCCUCUGCCUACUUUCCAGUCCUCCAAAUAAUCCUGGUUAUGCCAUAAGAGUAAGCACUACAAAUUGUAGAUGUGCAUCCAUCUGUCUCUGCAGAGGGCUGAAUUGAGUUGGAAGACCUGCUCACAGUGACUUCAGGUUGGGGCUGUGCAAGAUUGAUGCUGUUUAUCUCAUGCCUAAGAACCUAAGAUUAAUAGGGCUAAAUCCAGCUUAUAGUUCUGGCCAUGUGCUAAUGAUGCUGGAAAUGCAUAAGGAUGUGCUGCAAAAUAUGGCUGAGGACCAAAAUCUGUUUCUUCAUUUCCUGAGAAGUCUGGCAAGUUUCAUCAGGAGAUGCAGAGGAAAGUUUUAACAAAUGAGGAUUACAGAAGGAUUAACUUCAUUAGUUUAGCUGCUUGGGCUUUUUGACACUCAGGAAUGAAUCUAGCCUUCAUUUUUUUUUUUUGUCUUAGUCUUGAUUAGCUUGAUGCCUAAGAAAUGGAAGGGAUAAGCGGCUUCCAGCUGCAUUUACCAGACAUACAAACUAACACAGAGGUUGUCUUUGUUUUGGUGAGGUGAGAGGCCUUUACGUUAACUUCAGGGUAACAGUUCAUACCUCAAGUCAUGGGGCCACUUUACACCAUCCACAGAGCAAUAAAAUCAGCCAGAUAAUAGAAUUCUAUCAUAAGGCGUAGAAGCCUUCCAUUGGAAAUAUUCCUGUAUUAAAUUAUGUACUUUAAGAGUUGCGUCCAGCUGGACUGUGCUUGGGCAUUAUCAUAGAAAUAAGUGCAGUUGAUACUGGGAAAUAGCAGAACAAUAUUUAUUCAAUUCAAAAGAUGUUCUUAUUAUGAAGAGCCUCAGGGGAACAUUGCUUGGGAAAUGUAUUUUUAUAAUAAAAUGACCUAUUUUAGAAUUACAGUUUUCCAUGCUGGAAGGUGGCAGAGGGCUGGCCUAAAGAGACAGAUAGUAGGCACACUCACAUUUGCUCCCAAACAAGAAGGCAAGUGGACUGACUGUAUUAAUCAGAUAGCACGCAAAGGGGCUUCAGCAGGGUAUGCAUGCAGGGUAUGUGUAGGUGUCUGUCACAUCCAAAGCAACAUGCCUGCAAGAAUGGGAGCAGAUGUCCCUAUCAGUAGCUAACCCAAACAGGCGGAUGACAGGGAGAGAGUCCUCACAAUUGUGUUUAAGCCACUCCUCAAAAAAAACUUAGGUGUGAGUAAAAUAAAAUUUAAAAAGUAAAAGCUAAUAACAGGUAUUUUUUUUAAGUAGCUAGCUAUUCAAUUUAUAAUAUAAUAAUCUAAUAGUGAGCAGUGUAACAAGCAUUAUUCACUGUUAGUCAUCAGUGGGAUCUGUACUGACACCCCAAAACAAUCCAUGUGCUGUUGCUUCUCUGAUAAUACAGCCUACCUUCUAGUGACUAACGAAUCUCUCAGUUUGUCUCUUAUUUUGUCUGCUUAAACCUUUCAUCUUUUUCAGUGUGAUUUAUAAUCCAACAUCUGCAAUCAAAUUAGUCUUUAACCGCUACAUGAGUUCAACUAGUCAGCAAUCACUGCCACACCUGCUACUGCAAAAAGUACAUUAGUCAGUAGCUUACAUACUGCUCAGAAAAAAGAAAAACACCAAACCUGAAUUAGAUGGGUGAAAUUUGACCCUGUAGUAAAAGGCUGUAAUUUCAUUGAUGAAAACCCCAUCAACUGAGCUGCUGUAGUUUAUAUGAAAUAGAAAUUUGGCCUUUUACCAGCAGUAUCCAACCAGAGAUAUAAAAUUGAUGCCAUUUUUUUCCAGGCACUGUAGCUGCCAUUCUGACAGGAAGGCAAAAAACAACAUCCUUUCAGUCAUCCAGUCUGUAGGCAGCUGAUUCAGAACGAAUUUAGGGCAGAUGAGUUAGAGAUGAAUGAGAAGAAAAUUUAGCAGUGAUACUUCAUUCAGCCCGCAGAAUGCUCUUCUAAACACUUGUGCUCUCCAUUCCUUAGUGAUGGUCCUGAAGUGCUCCUGGCUUGUGCUCAGCAAUGUUGCCAUUCCAAACAGCAGAUAAUGAUGGUAAUAAACUCCCAAAAGAAUGCUAAAAUUCACAGAUGCCUAUGGCCAGAAAGAAACUACAGGACUGGGGAAACAAAUUGUGGAGGAGGAGUUAUUCACAAUAAGUUAUUAAGUUGUGGCGGGAACAUCAGUCGAUUAAUCAGUCUAAUAGCAUUUUCCUUGCAACAGUUUUUGGCCUCUUCAAGGUGUGUUUCUUUCAUAAAAUCUAACAGGGAUUUGCUUCGAGUCAUGGAUCUGCCUGUACAGAGUAGCUUUCAGGAUGUGCUUUUGCUUGAGCAUGGGGUUUUGCUCAACACUAUUUCUUCUAGCUUCCAUGCUUUAGUUGUACCAGUGAAUUUUGCAAAUCUGGAUUCAGUGUGCUUUGUGUGGAUAGACUAUGCCAUGCAGAAGGCUUCAAGUGCAAUUAUUUCAGUGUGGGUUUUUUUUCAAGAACUUAGUGUUUUUGCAAGACCCGAGUGGUAAAAACUUGUGGAGAAGAAGACCCCGAAUAGGUCUUGUUAUGACUUUCUCCAGUCUAUAUCUGUUUGCAUUCACUUUUAUGCAGUCUUCCUUGAUCCUUUUGCUGAGUGGUUAAUGAUUCAACUUGUCCUCAUACCUUAAAAGAGUGCAAAAGUGCCUCUUUUCUAGCAGGCUAUACUGGGGCUUUUCCUAAGCUUUUGCACAGUGGAGUUAAAAGAGUUAAAUGUGUUUUAGGGUAGACCCAUUAGCUUAGUCUUGACUAGUAUUUUGAAGAAGAAAUAUACAUGGCAAUGUAUGUUACCCCCUGAAGUAACACAGUAUUCUUUCAUUUCUCCUUCCCCAUCUUGAAGGCUGACCUUGUGUGUUCAACAAAGAAUUUUGUCCCAAGAUGAACUCUCCAACCAGGACUUAACAGGGCUAAAUGUUCCGUAGACACCCAGUAUUUAUUUGAAAUUCUUCACUUCUGACAGUUGAAAUGGUCAGUCAGUCCAUUGACUAAUUCUGGCUUUCUUGGGGAAAGAUUUCCUGUUUGUGACUGAAAAGAAGACAAUCUUUGGGAAAAUGGGCUUUUCCCUUCUGUUCAUGCGCACUUUUUAGUUAAGUCUACAUACUUUCUUUUUUUCUUCUUACAGCCCUACACAGAAAAAUACUUUCUGUAUAGUGGGAGAACAUUUUUUAAAAUAGUUCUGCUUUUAGUCAUCCAUUGAGAGAAAUAGCCCUAACAGAUAACAAAAAAAUAAUAAUCAGAAAAUGGUAAUGUAGUGGAAAUGCUAAGUCACGGCCUGAACCAAUGACUGAGCACCUGUUGGGAAGGCAGGGCCAACCCAGGGGAGCUCAGGUGCAUGCAAUGUACCUGAGUGACUGGAAGAGGUGGAGCCAGGAUCCACCCCUUCCCAGACCUCAUUUAAGGGUUGGCAGUGGAGGUAAGGGAUUCUCUCUGGAGAUCUCUGCCUACCUGAGGCUUUCCCAAGCUAAGGUUAAACUCCUGGCAGCCUGAGCAAGGGCAGAUGAAGCUGCUUUGAAGAGGAGGACAGAAGAGCACGGACUGAUGUGAGGAGUACGGUGGCUGCAGCGCAGUAGAGUGAGAACGCGAAAAGAACAGGAAGCAACUGCAGAGGUGGAGGCAGGAAGAAUUGAAGCAGGGAAUUUUACAUCCAUCCACGCCUGGCAGAAGAAAGUGUUUUACCUGGUGUUAUAGCCCUUGGAGGAGAUAUGCCAAGAGCCAACCUGCCUGUGGGGCCACAUACAGGGUGAGAGUGAAGGUUGUGGGCAGCAGGUUAAGCUGCGCUUUGCCCUUCUGCACUCUGCAGAGUUGAAGAGGCAUAAGCAGAGGAGUCAACAACCAGAAAAAUUUAUUUCUUCAGUGUAUAUAAAAACCUCCCUCGGAUAAACCUUAAGAAGCUGUUGGCUGAUUGAUAGCCAUCUCUUUCUGGCAAAAAAAAAAAAAAAAAA
This is an RNA transcript of Numida meleagris (helmeted guineafowl), 12045 nucleotides long. It is a transcript of the gene named GPRIN family member 3, with no coding region annotated. The transcript has 5 exons. The record is from RefSeq and is a predicted model, not a curated record. Lineage: Eukaryota; Metazoa; Chordata; Aves; Galliformes; Numididae.